GAUGAACGCUGGCGGCGUGCCUAAUACAUGCAAGUCGAGCGAACGGACGAGAAGCUUGCUUCUCUGAUGUUAGCGGCGGACGGGUGAGUAACACGUGGAUAACCUACCUAUAAGACUGGGAUAACUUCGGGAAACCGGAGCUAAUACCGGAUAAUAUUUUGAACCGCAGGGUUCAAAAGUGAAAGACGGUCUUGCUGUCACUUAUAGAUGGAUCCGCGCUGCAUUAGCUAGUUGGUAAGGUAACGGCUUACCAAGGCAACGAUGCAUAGCCGACCUGAGAGGGUGAUCGGCCACACUGGAACUGAGACACGGUCCAGACUCCUACGGGAGGCAGCAGUGGGGAAUCUUCCGCAAUGGGCGAAAGCCUGACGGAGCAACGCCGCGUGAGUGAUGAAGGUCUUCGGAUCGUAAAACUCUGUUAUUAGGGAAGAACAUAUGUGUAAGUAACUGUGCACAUCUUGACGGUACCUAAUCAGAAAGCCACGGCUAACUACGUG
Molecule: ribosomal RNA, 497 nt
Filed under: uncultured bacterium
Lineage: Bacteria
Description: partial 16S ribosomal RNA
Rfam family: Bacterial small subunit ribosomal RNA
Source: RNAcentral